This 1234-nucleotide long non-coding RNA is filed under the name Brassica napus (rape). RNAcentral's name for it is "long non-coding RNA (BNAP_LNC003036)". Lineage: Eukaryota; Viridiplantae; Streptophyta; Magnoliopsida; Brassicales; Brassicaceae. The record is from RNAcentral.
CGGCGAAUAAGAAACAGAGGAAGGAGAUCCUGCGGGAGACGAAGAUGGGGAUCCGGCGGAAGAAGAUUUUGGUGCCAUUGAUCCUGACGGUGAAGAGCCCGGUGCAUACGACGGAGGAGCUGGCGGAGAAGUCACCGGAGAAGUUGCCGGAGAAACAGGGGAAGAUGAUUUAGGUGACAUUGAUCCCGGCGGUGAAGAACCCGGUGCAUACGACGGAGGAGCUGGCGGAGAAGUCACCGGAGAAGUUGCCGGAGAAACAGGGGAAGAUGAUUUAGGUGACAUUGAUCCCGGCGGUGAAGAACCCGGUGCAUACGACGGAGGAGCUGGCGGAGAAGUCACCGGAGAAGUUGCCGGAGAACCAGCGGAGGAAGAUUUAGGUGGCAUUGAACCCGGCGGAGAAGUCACCGGAGAAGACGACGGAGAACCAGGGGAAGAUGAUUUAGGUGACACUGAUCCCGGCGGAGAAGUUACCGGAGAAGAUGACGGAGAACCAGGGAAUGAGGAUUUAGGUGGCAUUGAUCCCGGCGGAGAAGUCAUCGGAGCAGAGGACGGAGAACCAGGGGAAGAGGAUUUAGGUGGCAUAGGUGCGGGUGGAGAAGUUGCCGGAGACAUAUGAGAGGAAGAUUUAGGUGCCAUUGAACCUGGUGGAGAAGUUGCCGGAGACUUAGCGGAGGAUGAUUUAGGUGGCAUUGAUCCCGGCGGAGAAGUCACUGGAGAAGAAGACGGAGAAACAGGGGAAGAUGAUUUAGGUGGUGUAUGUGCCGGUGGAGACGUCGCCGGAGAAACAGGGGAAGAUGAUUUAGGUGGCAUUGUUCCCGGUGGAGAAGUCACCGGAGAAACAGGGGAAGUAGAUUUAGGUGGCAUAGGUGCCGGUGGAGAAGUCGCCGGAGAAACAUGGGAAGAAGACUUAGGUGGCAUUGAUCCCGGUGGAGAAGUCACCGGAGCAGAAGACGGAGUAACAGGGGAAGAUGAUUUAGGUGGCGUAGGUGCGGGUGGAGAAGUCGCCGGAGAAACAGGGGAAGAGGAUUUAGGUGGUGUGUGUGCGGGUGGAGAAGUGGCCGGAGAAACAUGGGAAGAAGACUUAGGUGGCAUUGAUCCCGGAGGAGAAUUUCCCGGUGAUGCUGCUUGAGGAGGAGCCGGAGUUCUAACGGACAAGACAACGACAGUAAGCUUUUGUCCCUUCUUACAGUUAUCUUCAUUACCGCUAAUGAAGUAAAACGGACCAGAACGUUCA